Molecule: ribosomal RNA, 424 nt
Filed under: uncultured Bacteroidia bacterium
Lineage: Bacteria; Pseudomonadati; Bacteroidota; Bacteroidia
Description: bacterial SSU rRNA
Rfam family: Bacterial small subunit ribosomal RNA
Source: RNAcentral
UGAGGAAUAUUGGUCAAUGGGCGCAAGCCUGAACCAGCCAUCCCGCGUGAAGGAAGAAGGCGCUAUGCGUCGUAAACUUCUUUUCCGGAGGAAUAAAAUCCUGUACGCGUACAGGACUGAAGGUACUCCGGGAAUAAGCAUCGGCUAACUCCGUGCCAGCAGCCGCGGUAAUACGGAGGAUGCAAGCGUUAUCCGGAUUUAUUGGGUUUAAAGGGUGCGUAGGCGGAUUAAUAAGUCAGCGGUGAAAACCUUCAGCUUAACUGGAGACUUGCCAUUGAUACUGUUAGUCUUGAGUAUGGUUAAGGUAGGCGGAAUGUGUAAUGUAGCGGUGAAAUGCUUAGAUAUUACACAGAACACCAAUUGCGAAGGCAGCUUACUGAGCCAUAACUGACGCUGAUGCACGAAAGCGUGGGGAGCGAACAGG